Molecule: transfer RNA, 74 nt
Filed under: Caudoviricetes sp.
Lineage: Duplodnaviria; Heunggongvirae; Uroviricota; Caudoviricetes
Description: tRNA-Met
Rfam family: tRNA
About the family: Transfer RNA (tRNA) molecules are approximately 80 nucleotides in length. Their secondary structure includes four short double-helical elements and three loops (D, anti-codon, and T loops).
Source: RNAcentral
CUCGGGGUGACUGGAGACGGUUCCAGUCCGGUCUCAUAAACCGGCAGACGCGGGUUCGAAUCCCGCCCCCGAAA